UUUCGGAUGCUGACGCUCUCUUCCUGUCUUUGUGGCUCCGGAAAGGCGUUUGGGAUGCCAACGAUGAGGCUGCUGUCAUUUGUGGUGUUGGCUCUAUUUGCUGUCACUCAAGCAGAGGAAGGAGCCAGGCUUUUGGCUUCCAAAUCACUGCUGAACAGAUACGCCGUGGAGGGACGAGACCUGACCUUGCAGUACAACAUCUACAAUGUUGGCUCAAGUGCUGCAUUAGACGUGGAACUAUCUGAUGAUUCCUUCCCUCCAGAAGACUUUGGCAUUGUGUCUGGAAUGCUCAAUGUCAAAUGGGACCGGAUUGCCCCUGCUAGCAAUGUCUCCCACACUGUGGUCCUGCGCCCUCUCAAGGCUGGUUAUUUCAACUUCACCUCGGCAACAAUUACUUACCUGGCCCAGGAGGAUGGGCCCGUUGUGGUGAGUUGCCCAAACCCUUAGCUGGAUGGAAUUUGGAUCUGCCUUCCCUUAAAAUCUCUUGUGGUGGGGGUAAGAGGGGGAUGAAGAGAGGUUGAUUAAUAGAUACCAAAAUACAGUUAGGGCUGGGCGCAGUGGCUCACACCUGUAAUCUAGCAUUUUUGGAGGCCGAGAUGGGCAGAUCACCUAAGGUCAGGAGUUCAAGACCAGCCUGGCCAACAUGCAGAAGCCCCAUCUCUACUACAAAUAAAAAAAUUAGCUGGGCGUGGUGGCAGGCGCCUCUAAUCCCAGCUACUUGGGAGGCUGGAGCAAGAGAAUCACUUGAACCCAGGAGGCAGAGGUUGCAGUGAGCCGAGAUCACACUACUGCACUUCAGCCUGGGCGACAGAGUGAGACUCCGUCUCAAAAAAUAUAUAUAUAUAGUUAGAAAGAAUAAGACCUAGUGUUCGAUAGUUUAGUAGGGUGACUAUAGUUAACAGUAAUCUAAUGUAUAUUUCAAAAUAGCCAGAUGAGAAGCAUUUGAACAUUUCCAUCAUAAAGAAAAGAUAAAUGCGGCCAGACGUGGUGGCUCACGCCUGUAAUCCCAGUACUUUGGGAGGCCAAGGCAGGUGGAUUGCUUGAGCCCAGGAGUUGGAGACCAGCCUGGGCAACAUGGUGAGACCCCCAUUUCAAAUAAUUAGCCAGGCAUGGUGCACGCGCCUGUGAUCCCAGGUACUCAGGAGGCUGAGGUGGGAGGAUUGCUUGAGCCCCAGAGGUUGAGGCUGCAGUGAGCCAUUUUAUUGCCACUGCAUUCCAGCCUGGGCAAAAGAGUGAGACCCUGUCUCAAAAAAAAGAUAAAUGUUUAAGGUGAUGGAUAUCCAUCUAAAAAGUAUAGAUUGUAAAAACAAAAACCUCUUACAGAAAAUUUACACAGUAGCUACUAAAUUCUGAGGGAGAUAACAUUAACCAGACACUUGGUAUUGUCCUAAGGAAGUGUGUUUCAAAUUAAAGUUCUGGACUAGAGUGAUUGAAAUGGAUGGGCGAGGUGUACCAUGGCCUUCCCCUCCUCUUCAUUCCUUCUGCCUUCCUUUUCAUCUGGAGUGUGUCAUUUGCUGCCUACUGAUGUCCUUGUCUUUCUGAUCUGUCUUCUCUGCCACUGUCAGAUUCUUCCCAGUCUCCACUGUUACUCUCUCCUUCCCUUGCUUAGAUUGCUCCUGCUUACGGCAUCAGGGCUGAGCUUUUCUGCCUCUCACUGCACCCCCCUCCAGUAGUCUAGCUAUUUUCUGCCUCCAGCCUUCUCUCCCACUCUGCCCAUACAGACCCUACAUCCUAAUUAGGCCAAGCUACUUCCCAUACCUUCUCCCCCAACUCAGUCCUUAUUCUUUCCUUUGUGCCUUUGUUCUGUUUGAAGUACCCUUUUCCCUCCACUCCAUUAUAUCUGAAGCCUUCUCAAGACCCAGCUUUGAGCUAUGUCUCCUUGUUUUCUGCCUUCAGUUCAUAUUGCUGUUUGCUAUUCAUUCUUUUCUUUUUUUCUUUUUUUUUUUUUUGAGACAGAGUCUCACUCUGUCACCGAGGCUGCAGUGCAGUAGCACAAUCUUGGCUCACUGCAACCUCCACUUCCCGGGUUCAAGCGAUUAUCUGCCUCAGCCUCCCGAGUAACUAGGACAACAGGUGUGUGCCACCGUGCCCGGCUACUUUUUUAUAUUUUUAGUAGAAAUGGGGUUUCACCAUAUUGGCCAAGCUGGUCUCCAACUCCUGACCUGUGAUCCGCCCGCCUCGGCCUCCCAAAGUACUGGGAUUACAGGCGUGAGCCACCGUGCCCGGCCACUAUUCAUUCUUUCAUAAACAUAUAUUGAUUGCAUCUAAACUUCAGUAGCACUUAUAGUCUAUGGCACUUGAACAUUUAAUCACUGUCUUCAGUAGUUUGUUUCUUAUUUAUAGAUCUUCCUUCUCCCCCCCCCACCUCCCAAUUUAAUUAUAAACUCCCUGAGGCCAGUAACUGUCUUAGAUUUCUGUUUCCCCAUAUAUGAUAGAAACUCAGUAGUAAACAGUCUUUUGAUUGAUUGAUGUAAAGGUCAAUAGACAUUUAUGAAGCCCCUGAAAUGUGCCAGACUCUGGGGAAUACCAAGAGGAUUAAUAUACUGUCCAAGUCCUCAAAAAGCUUAAGUCAUAAAUGUAUAAAGCCAAAUAAAUGUAUAAAUUUAUGAAGCCAAAAUGUGUGAUCCUCCAUACCAGUAGGGCUGUAGGCUAAUUAGUACACAGUAGGGAAGGGACUUAACACAGUCAACCAUAGAAUGAAAAGAACUAACAUUCAUUGCACCUUCUGCAUUUUCGUUUUUCAUAAACUACAUGGAACCAUAUUCUUCUAAACCUAGCGGUGUUUUCACAUCCGGUAUCAUUUCUGCUUUCAGAACCAACCUCAGGACUCUUUGGUUCUACCUGGUAGUUGAUGGGUUAAUAGACAUAAAAUCAAAGGCUUAGCUGCCACUUUGGAAUAAAGUUGUUUGCAGUGUGCUCCAAACUCUUGGCUUCCUCUCCAAGACAAAGGAAUGUGGACCAGACUCAACCCCUCCUCUAAUAAUGUACAUUUGGGUAGAGCUUUAUACUUCAUUAUAUAUUUUUGCUAUUUCAUUUGAGCCUCACAUUAACCCUGUGAAGUAGUGGAUUUUUGCUGGAGGAUUAAGUAAAUGAUUACCAAGGGUAAGUCAUUCCACGCACACCUUGCGCUGUAGAGGGGCCAGUGGUGGUGAGCAACUUCACUCUUUGCAGAGUCUGAGGCUCAGACAGAAGAAUUUGGCUUUAAUUUCAUUUGCAUGCCUGGCCUACCUUGUUUAAUAUAUGUUCUCCAUGGGGUAUUUCUCAGGUCUUCUGGCUCCUAGGUACUCCUCUUUAUAACACACUAAGAGAGAAUCAUCCAACUCUCUCUAGCCAAAAGCUUUCCCUCAUCUUCUUGAAGUUCUCCUGAGCCUUUGGGAACUAAGACUCUAAUGCAUAGAGUGGGGUUGGUUGGGACUGCCCUUUCUCAGAGUAGAUGAGGUAGAACUUCAUGAGGUGGACUUGCCUUAAUGUCGUUCUUUUCUUCUUUUCAGAUUGGCUCUACCAGUGCACCUGGACAGGGAGGAAUCCUGGCUCAGCGGGAGUUUGACAGGCGAUUCUCCCCUCAUUUUGUAAGCUUUCUAGUGUUCUCUCUCAUCAGUCCCUUGGUAUGAGAAUGCCCUUUUGGUUCUGGACCCUCUUGGCUUCCACAGACUUGUUUUGUUGGUUGGUUCUUGCCCUGUCUGUUUUUUGGUGUCUGAUAUAGAUACUCAUCAAAUAGAUUGAUUUAGCCACGUCCAGAGAUUUUUGGCAAUGAGAUCACAAUUGCCAAAACCAUAAAACUGACUUAAGUAGAGUCCCAUCUUUGAGUAGAUACCCAUCUUAAACUCCUGGGUCUAUUUUGAGGUUUAAAAAAAAAAAUCUGAUUAGAUUCAGAGGGUCAUAGAUCAUUGGGUAGGGUAAGUGGGAACUUUACUGUGGUCUAGUCUAGGAAAUAAUUUUUUGAAGAUGAGCCUGAAGUACUGAAUGCUGGAAUUCAUUCAGUGAAUAAGUAUGAUGUUCCAGAUUAUGUGCUCAUUCUGUGCUCUGCUUUGGGGACACAGUGAUGAAUAAGACACAGUCCCUUCCAUUAAAGAUCUUACAGGCUGGCGAGGCACCAUGGCUCAUGCCUGUAAUCCCAGUGCUUUGGGAGGCAGAGGCGAGAGGACCACUUGCGGCCAAGAGUUUGAGGCUGCAGUGAGCCAUGAUCACACCACUGCACUCUAGCCUGGGUGACACAGCAAAACCCUGCCUCUGAAAAUAACAAGAUCUUACGAGCUCAUAGAGGACUCAAAAUAGGUAAAUGGGGAGGCUGAGGCAGGGGAAUUGCUUGAGCCCGGGAUGCGGAGGUUGCAGUGAGCCAAGAUCGAGCCACUGCACUCUAGCUGCCUGGACAACAAGAGCGAAACGCUGUCAAAAAAAAAAAUGGUAAAUGGGGAAAAUGCCAUGAUAGAGGUUAUAUGCCAGGUGCUGGAGGAGCCUGCAGCAGGAACAUCUAAUGAGGGGACUUUCUGGAGGAGGUAAGGAAGGGCAGGCACUUGAGGAGAGAGAGCAGCCGAGAUUGAGAAAAGCAUGGUGUGAUUCAGGAAUGGCAAGUAGUUUAUCAAGGCUGAAGGGCAGAAUGUGAGGUGGAGGAAUGGAAAAGAGGGGGCCUGAAGUGUAAACAAGGGUUAGAUCAUAGGUGGCUUGACUGUCGGGCAAGACCAGGGCAUCUCCAUUCUCAAAAAUUGUCUGGAACAGAAGCUUCUCUUCCAGUCUGGUUUGGGUCAGGUGAGUCCUUUGGUUUCACAGCUUGAAAGAUUGGUCUUUAGAGAGCCAUUCUAUAUCAGGAUUGGUCAGAGAGGAACCUUCUUGCCUAAAGUUCUGCUUAAAAUUUGUGCUGAGUUAGGCCUGGUGGUGUGUACCUAUAAUCUCUGCUGGAGGAUCGCUUGAACCCAGGAGUUUGAGGCUGCAGUGAGCUAUGAUUGCGCCACUGCACUCCAACCUGAGCAACAGAGUGAGACUCUAUCUCUAAAAAAAUAAAAUAAAAAUUAAGAAAAUUUAGGCUGGGUGUUGUGGCUCACACCUGUAAUUCCAGCACUUUGGGAGGUCAAGGCAGGAGAAUCACUUGAGCCCAGGAGUUUGAGACCAGCUUGGGCAACAUAGUGAUAUUUUGCCUCUACAAAAAAUAAAAAAAAAAAA
This 5157-nucleotide small RNA is filed under the name Pan troglodytes (chimpanzee). RNAcentral describes it as "retained intron". Lineage: Eukaryota; Metazoa; Chordata; Mammalia; Primates; Hominidae. The record is from RNAcentral.